This 1342-nucleotide long non-coding RNA is filed under the name Arabidopsis lyrata. Its description in RNAcentral is "long non-coding RNA (ALYR_LNC000860)". The record is from RNAcentral. Lineage: Eukaryota; Viridiplantae; Streptophyta; Magnoliopsida; Brassicales; Brassicaceae.
ACAACAAAAACUUGUCAAAUGCAAAACAGAGAUUCAUGAUCUACGCAUAUUAAACUUGUCAAAUGCAAAACAGAGAUUCAUGAUCUACACAUAUUUUGAUUUGAGUGUCUUGUCUCCUACUUGGCCUAUAUAAGACAGAUUUGGUAUCUUCGACAUCAAAAACACAUUAAAAAAAAAAACACAUUAAAUUUCAUAGCAUAGACAAUUCACAAGCAACAUUGAACUUGCCUUCUCCACUGCAUUUCUCCUCUUGGCUUCUCCACUUGCAGUUCUCCAUUUAUACUCAACAAAAACAGAGAGAAAUAAAGCACAUUAGCAUAAACAAUUCACAUUCAAAAACAAUAUAUUGAUUCAACAACCUAAUCAAACACAACCAACCACACUUUCUAAUUUCUCAACAACCAACAAUUUUCAAGAAUAAGAAGAAAUUUAACUACAUAAACAGCAUGAGUCUUAAUAUUUAGCUAUGCUAUUCAUAUCCGUAAUUUUCAAUUGUUCCACACAAUCAUGAGUCUUAAAAGGGAAUAAGAAUAAGAAGAAAUUUGAUGGCCCUGCUAGUGAGAGUCGCUGUGAUUCUUGAUGAUCUCAACUAAAAGAUUGUCUCCAGCCACUUCUCGCAUCCUCAUCAACAAUCCAUUAUUUCCUUCAAUAAACCAUCAAAACAAAACAGAGCUUUUCUUUAAUCACCUAAUCAGUCCUUAGUUGCAAUAUAUAACCAUCCAUUGUGCAAUUCUUUCACUAUCUUCUUCAUUCUCAGUUCCUCCUGCAUCAUCAUCAAAAUACAAGCUUUGUUAUUAUGAAACUGUUUUGGUUGUCAGAGAAAAGGUUUUGUCUUUGAAAACUGUUUUGAGGUGGUUCUUUGAAAGCUUGCAUAAUGACUACAUAAACAGCAUAUACAACUCAAUAACCCAAAGCAUUGACUGAAUUGAAAAUGAGAGGUAAGAAACCACAUCACGGAAUUUCACAACAUACAAAUCCAGCAGGAGGAAAUAGUUUGAAAAUUUCAUCACAUCAACUCAUCUUACAGGAGAACAGACUCAAAAUUCACCCUAUCCGCUGUUAAGACCAAAGAUUCCACAAUUUUGUUCCAUUGCAGUAAUCGAUGGAACAAUAGCAAGAACUUACCGAAAUUUUCGAUGUCGUCGAAAGAGAGAGAGAUGUGUUCUUCCCAAUCAAUAGAAUUUUUGCAGAAUCACAGUGAGAGAAUCACAAAUUGAAGUAUAACACAUAAGAGAUUCGUGUAUAAAGCUUCAUACUUGGAAUUGCAGACAGAGAUUAAGGCACACCCUUCACCCAACUGAGAUUUCGCAAUCGGAGAAAUCAGAAAGAGAGAGAGACACGC